AUCGAUAGUGUAAACGCAGCAUAACAACUAGCAGACGAGGAAAACAACUGCCGAAAUGUCACUUCCAUCGCAGUAAAUGCCAAGCCAAUGUUUGCCCUAGGCCUACGAAGGCCACCUCUGCUGAGCACGCUAAUGUGAUCGUGUGGACUUUGCUCGGAGGCAGGUUCCUGAGAUGACAUUGCAUCACUAAGUGCUAAUAUGUCGGUUUUUGUAGUGCAUGGUUGCAAACGGAAGGCUCGCUUGCGCAAGCUAUGGACAACACUGCCAGCAAUGUAUUGCACAAUUUCCUGAUCUGAUUUAGAAAUUGUAAUGUCAGUUUUCUUCGAUUGGGGACGUUGUUUUGCAUUUUGUUUUAAAAUCGCCUGAAAAACACGAAGAGCGAUCCAUGAAGCGGUCUGAGGACAGCCAAUUGUCUCUGUUAGGCUUUUGUGCCUAAGUACAAGUUCUGCAUGGAAAGCUUGCAUGGACUUCUCUCGCAUAGCUGAUGCAAAGAUGCUCUGCUUAGCCAUGCAACUGUCAAUAAACCUCAGUCCCUCUGUGAGCUUUGAAAGAGCUGGAAUAUAAGAAUGUUUGUAUAUAUGUAUAGAGAAUACUAUUAUGGUUAUGGUACUAGAUUAUUCCAACUUAUGGAAUGUAUGAGGAAUAUGUUGAAAUUUUAACAGCUUGUACAUAAUCGAACAUGUUUAACCGAUUACUCUGAAACUUUGUAGAGAUGUGCUUACACCAUGUUUAGCUAUUGGGACUUAACUGUUUGCAUUAUCAAGGCUUUUGAUCAGAGCUCGCAUUUCUUCAGGGAGUCCAUUGUCUUUCAUCAUGUUGCGCAAGACAUUGCUUACAUGAAGACCACUCAGCUAAAUAUAUAAAGUAUGGAGAAAGUGUAAAUAUGUAGAAGUUUCACCUAGAUGUAAAUAUAGACGUACUUGUGACAAUAAUUAAGACGUAAUUGACAAAUAUGUGUUUUAAUGCAGUUCCUGUUACAGUGUUUACAGCGUAUUACUUGCAACUACAGUAAACUCUCGUUAAGCCGCAGUAUUCGACAUGUCGUAAUUUGAUCCAAGUCGGAAUAAAUGGCUCUAUGUCACGUGCCGAUGGAAACGGCUGUGAUUGGCUAUUGUGAAGUGAUGCGCGACACUGUUGCUGAUUUUAGAAGCGUUUCUGAAUAGUUUUGUCAUUACGGUUGUUGCCGGACGUUGUCGCGUGUAUGUGCAACAGCUUGCAGGAAACAAUAUAGUUUAUAAUUUUAUGAAAUGUCGUUAAACGUUACGGUUGUAAGUGUUAUUGUUUCUUUAGUCAUAACAUUAUUGUUAUGUAGUAGGAAUUUUGUAAAAAUU
Molecule: long non-coding RNA, 1331 nt
Organism: Priapulus caudatus
Lineage: Eukaryota; Metazoa; Priapulida; Priapulimorpha; Priapulimorphida; Priapulidae
Exons: 2
Source: RefSeq, a predicted model, not a curated record